Olea europaea var. sylvestris is the source of this 4104-nucleotide long non-coding RNA. RefSeq lists it as uncharacterized. The transcript is spliced from 3 exons. NCBI's taxonomy places the organism in Eukaryota, Viridiplantae, Streptophyta, Magnoliopsida, Lamiales, Oleaceae. The record is from RefSeq and is a predicted model, not a curated record.
GAAGGGCCGAGAGAGACUAGGAAUAAAAGAGAAAAGAAGAAAGAAAAAGGAAGAGGAGGAGGUUUCAAGCUAGGGUUCUCAACUUCUUCAAUUUCUCUUUUGAUUUAGAAUGGUAGGGACAUGAAAGCUAGGAAUAGCUUGUCAAUUGAGCCAAAUUUCUAUCCAUGGAUCUGUAGUAUUGGUCCCUGAUAGCUUGAGGAGCCUGGUGGUUUUAGAAUUAGAGCCACACGACAUAUUGAGUGACACGAUUCAUUUUGGUAGAACAAGAAGUAAUCGUUUUGGGCCCAUUGCAUUAUAUUUUUCAUAAAUAUUUGAUUUUGGCGCAUAUUUUGUAGUAAGUCAUAGUCAGCCUUGGUGGUGGAUCUAACAUCUAGUCAGCAUCUAUCAUCGGCGCACGUCACGUUCCUAGUCCAUUAGAGUGAUUCGGGACGAGACGUAUUAGAGUGGUAUCAAAGCAUGGUUUACAAAGUUAUGAAAGUCUUCAUAGUUCAUGCAUUGGAAUAUCAUGCAUAUUUAGUGCGUGUGGUCACACGUUGUGGUGGCAGAAAUUACAGGCUCUCAAGCUCGAAUGUAUGAAACCAAAAAUGAUAUAAAAAUAUUUUUUUUACGGAUCCAGAAAUGGAUAGUAUGUAAGUAUGAUAGUUGCAAUGAUUUGAUGAUUGAAAUUAUUAUUAGUUGCUGAUUUGGAACUGUGGUAAAUGUAACCUAUUAAGAGUUGAUUAGAUCAUAAUACAUAGGAAAAUCAUUGGUUAUAGCUUGCCCAAUAAAUACAGGUAAAUGAUAUAAUUUGUGUAAUUGGAGAUAAUCAGUGAAGGAUUUUAAUUAUUUUGGGGAAGCUAAAUUACCAUUAGCGCUAUUGAUAAUUGUGGUGAAUCGUAGCCACUUGUUUGGGAUGAGAAUAGAAAGCAUGUGGGUGUACACUUAUGCUAUAUGAUAAGAAUUUUGUAGAGGACAAAAUGAUAAUAUUAUAUAGAAUGUUGAUAAAUAAAAUACAAUGUUUUAUUAUGUAUAUUAUGCAUUGAGGAACUUAACAUUCAUGUGUACUUUGAGAAGAGUCUAGGAUGGGCUUAGUCGCCUUGACCAAUUAAAUGAUAGGUUACAAAAUGAGAAAGAUAGGUAGUGACAAAUGAGGUUAGAGGAAAAAAAAAAUUUACUCAAUGGGUUACUUAUUGGUAUAGAAACUUGGGGCCAAGGUGAUAGAAAAUGAUUACAUAAAGAGAUUAUGAAAUUUAUGGUGAAGUGGAAUUAUGUAUGGUAGUAUAGUAGUUAAGGAAAAUGGUGGGGGAAAAAUGAAUAAUAGAUGGAAGGAUUAAGAGUUCCAUUCAAGGAAAUAAAACUUUGAUAGGAAUAUAUAAUUGGGGACAUGUGUGGUCGGAAGUGACCAAGAGUAGAAAGAAAAGAGUAUGAAUUAGUGUUAAAUCACUGUGUACAUGAUAUAUGCAAUAGUACCAUAAAUUUAAGGAUAUGAGGAAAGAAAUGGCAUUGGGUUCUGUAUAAGUAUGUGUAUUUAUCGAAAGAAUGAGAAAAGAAAGAAAAUAGUAAAGAGAGGUAUGGAUAUCCAUUAAGGUUGUGAGUUGGGUAUACAGUGGUAUCGAUAUUGGAUCGUUAAAUAUGGGUAUAAUGAUUUUCAAUAAGGUUCAACAAAUUAAGUACGAUGAAUCAUCUUGUUCAACUUGGGAGACAAGACAUGACUAUAUUUUGUUGUUAUAUGGUACGAUGAUUUUCACUUGGAAAGGUUAUUUUAUUAUGAAAGGCAUUGUGAAUGGUGAUAAACAAGGGAUAGGACAGUUUUACAUAAACAGAAUUAUGUUAUAGUAUAGUCUGGUUAAAAUGUGAAUUGAUUUUCCUCUAGCCAUUAUUGGGUUUAUUAUGUUGGUUUAUAAGUUAUCGAGGACGACGUAUUAAAUUAUAAAUAUGGCUUAGUUUUAAGAGUUAUUUGUGAUUCCUUUGGGAUGACUAUCAUGUCAGUUAUAUGUUGAAUUUCAUGAGUAGAAUAUCUCAUUUUGAUCAUAAAGAUUUGAUAAAAAUUUCAUGUAUGACAUGUUAUUGUACGUAGAGCGUAAAAGGUGAAAUAAUGUUCUAUUAGAUAAGAGGUAGUUUUGAGCAUGUCAUUUAAGUGCACAGGAUUUUGUGGAUACAUUACAUAAAGUCAGUAAGGACAUAUCAUCACAUUGUACUACCAAGGAAGAUGGAAUACUAGUUAUGGUAAACAAGUUAGGUGGUCGAGAUGAUGCCCAAUAAAAAAAAAAGGGGGAAUAGAGAUAAAAUCUAGGUGUUGUGUUUUUCUUUCUUUAUUUAAGAAAUUGGUAAGCUUAAGUUUCUUACUUUAAUAUGAGUAAGUAUAUUUGAAGUUGUGCAAAACAUUGUAUUCUCUCUACAUAUAAUUGUGGUGCUUGAGAGAAUUAAAUUGACAAUGAAACGUGAAACAUGGAAAGAAAAGAAUGAGGAAUUGAAGACUGUAGUAGUAAAUUGUAUGUUAUAUAUGAUCAUAAUUGAAAAGUGAAAAUGGAAAAUUAGAAGAGAAGAAGAUAAGCGGAAUAUGUAUAUGGGUAUUGCAGGGAAUGAAUAUUUGUAGAGAAGAAGAAAUGAAAAAUUUUAAAUGAAAAGUUGGGAAUAACAUAUAUUGGUUCUUAGGAAAGUUAUUCAAAGCAUAUUAAUGAAAGAAUGAACUUUGAGCCUUGUUGAAGGUUGUUGGAGAAAUCAUUCGUUAUUUUUGCUUUCAUUUUUGAAGUGGUUAAGAUUGUCACACCCCUCAUUUUUAGUCAAAGUCAAGAAUUAUGAUUGGUCAAAGUCAAAGUCAAUAAAUGCUUAAAUUUAACAAAUAAUUUUCAUGGGACUUAAAUUGUAAUUUCAAGUAAUUGAGGGCUAGAAAUGAUAUAAUAAAGGAAUCCAAGGAUUUAGUUUCUAAUAUGGGAAAUGAAAUAACUAAAUGUGAUAUUGUAUGAAGAUUGGGGGAUUUGACUUGCAAUUAUUCAAUAUUUAUCCAUAUAUAUUAUCCAUUUUCUCAUUUUUGGGAAAAAAGAGAGAAGGGCUGAGAGAGACGGGGAAGAAAAGAGAAAAGAAGAAAGAAAAGGAAGAGGAGGAGGUUUCAAGUUAGGGUUCUCAACUUCUUCAAUUUCUCUUUUAUUUUACAAUGGUAAGUAUAUAAGUAUAUUGAAUUGAAAAUUUUGGGGUUUAUGGAAAAUUUAUUUUAAUUCGAAGUUUAGCAAUAAUUAGUUGUUAUUGAUAUGUAUUUGAGGUUAUAAAUAGGAAUAUAACAAAGAAAUGUUAUUUGAGUAUUGAAGUUGAAGAAAGUAGAAUUUUGAAAUGGGUUUGUAAGAUAGAAACAUAUUAUUUGAAUUUUUUGUGAUUAUAUGAUGUUAAACAUUUAAAUUAAGGAAUUAGGGUUGAUUUCUCCAUUUUUAAGUAAUUAUUAUAAGCAAUUUUUAGACAAAAUCCUACAUAGGUGUUAUUUGAAAAUCUGCCCAAAAUAGUGCUAAUUCUGUCAAAGGUUUUGCUGCCAGAUUUAAGUAAAAAAAUUGGUGCCAGAUUUCAAUAUUAUGGGAUUAUAGUGCUGUUUUUCUCAAAACUCUUAUUUUUGGAUUUUUAAAGGUUUUAAUGAAGUUAUAUGACAAGUGUUGAAGUUUAUGUAUUGGAAUAAAUUGUGUAUAGGGAUUGUAUAUGAAUAAGGUAUUGAUUUUAAGGAAGUACAAGUGAUUUAAUGGAAUUGAAAAUGAAAUUGUGAUUAAAUGAUGAAUCAUUAGAGAGGAGAAAAGUUGGGAAAUUGGAGAUACAAGAGAAAAUAUAGAAAUUGAGAAGUUGAGAGGUAGAAUUGUAUUAAUUUAAUUGUCUGAUUUUAAUUUGAGUAAUUAUAUCGUUAUUUCAGGUAGGGACAUGAAAGUUUGGAAUGACUCGUCAAUUUAACAAGAUUUCUAUUCAUGGAUUUGUGAGUGGAAAAAUCUAAAUAUUUUUAAAGUUUUAUGAAUUAGGUAUAUUAUCAAAGUAUGUGCAAUUAUGUGUUCGAAUUAUAUGGUUAUUACAGAAAAAUCUUUUAUUAGAAUACAUGUAAGAUUUCAAAGAUUGUAUACGGUACAUUGUGAAUUGGAAUGUGAGAUGUGAUUUUGA